RNAcentral lists this unclassified non-coding RNA (324 nucleotides) under uncultured fungus. RNAcentral describes it as "partial contains small subunit ribosomal RNA, internal transcribed spacer 1, and 5.8S ribosomal RNA". The stretch from base 1 to 73 matches the Rfam family "Eukaryotic small subunit ribosomal RNA", at positions 1759 to 1831 of the family's 1831-position model. The record is from RNAcentral. Lineage: Eukaryota; Fungi.
GCAAACUUGGUCAUUUAGAGGAAGUAAAAGUCGUAACAAGGUUUCCGUAGGUGAACCUGCGGAAGGAUCAUUACUGAGUUUUGGUUACCUUUUGGUGCCCGAUCUCCCACCCUUUGUUUAAAUGACAUUUGUUGCUUUGGCCGGCCUGUCUUGCUUCGGUAAGACUGCUGGAGCCAGGUCUCUCGGGACCGGGCUCUUGCUCGUUGCUGGCCAAUAGCCCCUUCAAAUUCUUUUUUUAACCAUGUCGUCUGAAUCUUUAAAUGAAUUCCAUUUAAAACUUUCAACAACGGAUCUCUUGGUUCUGGCAUCGAUGAAGAACGCAGC